GACGUAGGGCGCGAGCGUUGUCCGGAUUUAUUGGGCGUAAAGAGCUCGUAGGCGGCUUGUCGCGUCGAAUGUGAAAACUUGGGGCUCAACUCCAAGCUUGCAUUCGAUACGGGCAGGCUAGAGUUCGGUAGGGGAGACUGGAAUUCCUGGUGUAGCGGUGAAAUGCGCAGAUAUCAGGAGGAACACCGGUGGCGAAGGCGGGUCUCUGGGCCAAUACUGACGCUGAGGAGCGAAAGCGUGGGGAGCGAACAGG
Molecule: ribosomal RNA, 253 nt
Filed under: uncultured bacterium
Lineage: Bacteria
Description: partial 16S ribosomal RNA
Rfam family: Bacterial small subunit ribosomal RNA
Source: RNAcentral